AAUCAACGCUGGCGGCGUGCCUCAGACAUGCAAGUCGAACGCGAAAUUUCCCUUCGGGGAGAAAGUAGAGUGGCGCACGGGUGAGUAACACGUAGGUAAUUUGCCUUUGGGUGGGGAAUAACUCAGGGAAACUUGAGCUAAUACCGCAUAAUGCAGCGGCUCGACAUCGAGACAGUUGUUAAAGCGGGGGAUUGGAGCAAUCCGACCUCGCGCCUAAAGAGAAGCCUGCGGCAGAUUAGCUAGUUGGUAAGGUAAUGGCUUACCAAGGCGACGAUCUGUAACCGGCCUGAGAGGGCGGUCGGUCACACUGACACUGACAUACGGGUCAGACUCCUACGGGAGGCAGCAGUCGGGAAUUUUGGGCAAUGGGCGCAAGCCUCGACCCAGCAACGCCGCGUGAAGGAUGUAAAUUUUUCGGAAUUGUAAACUUCGCAAGAACAGAAGAAUAAGUGUGGGACAAUACCCCACAUGAUGACGGUA
This 480-nucleotide ribosomal RNA is filed under the name uncultured bacterium. RNAcentral's name for it is "bacterial SSU rRNA". It matches the Rfam family "Bacterial small subunit ribosomal RNA", at positions 32 to 477 of the family's 1533-position model. The record is from RNAcentral.